CCUAGUGGCGGACGGGUGAGUAACGCGUGAGCAACCUGCCUUUCAGAGGGGGAUAACAACGGGAAACCGUUGCUAAUACCGCAUAAUACCGGAUGAUGGCAUCAUUGACCGGUCAAAGGAGCAAUCCGCUGAAAGAUGGGCUCGCGUCCCAUUAGGUAGUUGGUGGGGUAACGGCCUACCAAGCCGACGAUGGGUAGCCGGACUGAGAGGUUGAUCGGCCACAUUGGAACUGAGACACGGUCCAA
This 245-nucleotide ribosomal RNA is filed under the name uncultured Bacillota bacterium. Its description in RNAcentral is "uncultured Firmicutes bacterium partial 16S ribosomal RNA". It matches the Rfam family "Bacterial small subunit ribosomal RNA", at positions 91 to 334 of the family's 1533-position model. The record is from RNAcentral. Lineage: Bacteria; Bacillati; Bacillota.